AGAGUUUGAUCCUGGCUCAGAGUGAACGCUGGCGGUAGGCCUAACACAUGCAAGUCGAACGGCAGCACAGGAGAGCUUGCUCUCUGGGUGGCGAGUGGCGGACGGGUGAGGAAUACAUCGGAAUCUACCUUUUCGUGGGGGAUAACGUAGGGAAACUUACGCUAAUACCGCAUACGACCUACGGGUGAAAGUGGGGGACCGCAAGGCCUCACGCGAUUAGAUGAGCCGAUGUCCGAUUAGCUAGUUGGCGGGGUAAUGGCCCACCAAGGCGACGAUCGGUAGCUGGUCUGAGAGGAUGAUCAGCCACACUGGAACUGAGACACGGUCCAGACUCCUACGGGAGGCAGCAGUGGGGAAUAUUGGACAAUGGGCGCAAGCCUGAUCCAGCCAUACCGCGUGGGUGAAGAAGGCCUUCGGGUUGUAAAGCCCUUUUGUUGGGAAAGAAAUCCUGUCGGUUAAUAACCGGUGGGGAUGACGGUACCCAAAGAAUAAGCACCGGCUAACUUCGUGCCAGCAGCCGCGGUAAUUC
RNAcentral lists this ribosomal RNA (529 nucleotides) under uncultured bacterium. Its description in RNAcentral is "bacterial SSU rRNA". It matches the Rfam family "Bacterial small subunit ribosomal RNA", at positions 8 to 526 of the family's 1533-position model. The record is from RNAcentral.